GGCGCGCGGCCGGCGGGAGGCCCGGCUCCGCCCCGCGCGCACUAUUUAAUCCCAGAAUCCCUCUGUGUCGCACCAGAACGGCGGCGUCGUUCCGAGACUGCGGAGCUCGGGCGCGGCGGCGUCAAGAUGGCGGCAGCGGCUGUUGCAGCGGCGGCGGCAGCGGCGGCGGCUGCAUCUCUUCAGGUGCUGGAGAUGGAGAGCAUGGAGACGGCCGCUGCCGGCUCGGCGGGGCUGGCUGCCGAGGUCCGAGGCAGCGGCACGGUUGACUUCGGGCCCGGGCCCGGGAUCUCUGCAAUGGAGGCGAGCGGGGGCGAUCCUGGCCCAGAGGCCGAGGAUUUCGAGUGCAGCUCUCACUGCUCGGAGCUGUCCUGGCGGCAGAACGAGCAGCGGCGCCAGGGCCUCUUCUGUGACAUUACCCUGUGCUUCGGUGGGGCCGGAGGCCGCGAGUUCCGGGCCCACCGCUCGGUGCUGGCUGCCGCCACCGAAUACUUCACGCCCCUGCUCUCAGGCCAGUUUUCCGAGUCCCGCUCGGGCCGGGUGGAGAUGCGCAAGUGGAGCUCCGAGCCGGGGCCCGAACCCGACACAGUGGAAGCCGUUAUCGAAUACAUGUACACCGGGCGCAUCCGCGUCAGCACGGGCAGUGUGCACGAGGUGCUGGAGUUGGCCGACAGGUUCCUAUUAAUUCGUUUGAAAGAAUUUUGUGGAGAAUUUCUUAAGAAAAAGCUUCAUCUCUCAAAUUGUGUGGCCAUUCAUAGCUUAGCUCACAUGUACACUCUGAGCCAGCUUGCUCUGAAAGCUGCUGAUAUGAUACGGAGAAAUUUCCACAAAGUAAUUCAGGAUGAAGAAUUUUAUACUUUACCUUUCCAUCUCAUUCGAGACUGGCUAUCAGACUUGGAAAUUACAGUUGAUUCUGAAGAGGUUCUCUUUGAAACGGUUUUGAAGUGGGUUCAGAGAAAUGCUGAAGAGAGAGAGAGAUACUUUGAAGAACUUUUUAAAUUGCUCCGGUUGUCCCAGAUGAAACCUACCUAUCUUACUCGGCAUGUCAAACCAGAGAGGCUGGUGGCCAAUAAUGAAGUUUGUGUCAAGUUGGUGGCCGAUGCAGUGGAGAGGCAUGCCCUGAGAGCCGAGAAUAUACAGUCUGGCACCUUCCAGCACCCUGCUUCUCAUGUCUCAUUAUUACCUCGUUAUGGGCAAAACAUGGAUGUGAUCAUGGUUAUUGGAGGUGUGUCGGAAGGAGGGGACUAUUUAAGUGAAUGUGUGGGUUAUUUUGUUGAUGAGGACAGAUGGGUAAACCUGCCGCAUAUUCAUAAUCAUCUUGAUGGACAUGCUGUUGCAGUAACAGAGUCCUAUGUGUAUGUUGCUGGAUCAAUGGAACCAGGGUUUGCUAAGACGGUAGAAAGGUAUAACCCAAAUUUGAAUACGUGGGAACAUGUUUGUAGUCUGAUGACAAGAAAGCAUUCUUUUGGGCUGACGGAAGUCAAAGGGAAGCUCUAUAGCAUUGGAGGACAUGGCAACUUUAGUCCUGGCUUUAAAGAUGUGACUGUUUAUAAUCCUGAGCUUGAUAAAUGGCACAACUUGGAAUCGGCACCAAAGAUUCUUCGAGAUGUGAAAGCGCUAGCCAUUGAAGACCGCUUUGUGUACAUUGCUGCCCGCACUCCCGUGGACCGGGACACUGAAGAUGGAUUAAGGGCUGUAAUUACUUGCUAUGAUACAGAGACUCGACAGUGGCAAGAUGUGGAGUCUUUGCCACUUAUUGACAAUUACUGCUUUUUCCAAAUGUCUGUGGUCAAUUCAAACUUUUAUCAGACAGCAUCAUGCUGUCCCAAGAGUUACUCUUUAGAAAAUGAAGAGGCAGUAAGAAAAAUUGCCAGCCAAGUGUCUGAUGAGAUCCUUGAAAGCCUGCCUCCAGAAGUGCUAAGCAUUGAAGGAGCAGCCAUUUGCUAUUACAAAGAUGAUGUUUUCAUUAUCGGAGGCUGGAAGAACAGUGAUGAUAUUGACAAACAGUAUCGGAAAGAAGCCUACCGAUACUGUGCUGAGAGAAAGAGGUGGAUGCUUCUUCCUCCCAUGCCACAACCUCGUUGUAGAGCCACUGCUUGUCAUGUGAGGAUCCCAUACCGGUACUUGCAUGGCACACAGCGAUAUCCUAUGCCUCAAAACCUAAUGUGGCAGAAGGACCGCAUCAGACAGAUGCAGGAAAUACAUCGGCAUGCCCUAAACAUGCGGCGAGUGCCAAGCUCUCAGAUUGAAUGCUAGGUUCUCUAAUACAUGCAGCCUAAGACUGUCAUACCUGUUUCGUGAAGCUGAAGAUAAACAGACUGUUACUUGAAAAAGUAUGUCGAUAACUUAUUUUCUACCUGAACUGAUUAUUGCCCCUCAACAAGGAAGUACAGUUCAAAACUGAAGAAUGGGAAACUCAGUUCAAUACGUGCAGGCAGCCUAGGCCAUGGCUGAAAAGAAGGGGUAAGUCCGUCGUUGCAUGAUGAUGUGUGCAGGUUUUCCUGACUACUGGAUUUCUAAUUUUUAUAUUUGAAUUCACAUUUGUGAUUUCACAUCAAUAACUUGUGUUUCUGAAAUAGUCUAACUAACUUGUUAAUAAGGAAAGAAACCAGAUUUGCUUAAAUCUGUUCAAGGCUGACAUUCUAAAAUUCUAAGCUGGAAAUAACUUCCCAUGGUAUUUGGAAAGGUUCUAAUUAUGAAGACCAGGCCUAAAAACGGCUUCUUGGGAAAGAAAUUUCCUUUUAGAUGAAAACUCAAAGAUUGUGUUUGGUGAUUUAAGCAGUUAAACACAUGGCUUUAGAAGACAGCUUAAUGUGUAUUCAAACAAACCUUUGUUUCUUUUGCUUUUGUUUGGUGGAAGGGAGAGAGAAUUAUACCAAAAAGUGAUAACUAUAUAUAAUUUUGAGGGAGGCUACUUAUAUCUUAGAAUGGGUAUCCUUUAACUAUACCUAUCCCACCAUGGUUUAAAAAAAAAAUCAAUGGUAUAUAUAUUGAGAAUGUCAGUCAUGAGCUUAGUGUUUAAGUAAUACAUCACACUUGCAGUUGUUUGCAUGAUUAGUCUUGUGUACCUUGAUAUUCAACAUUGCUUUUGCUGUGCCAGUUCAAACAUAACAUUUUUGCCAAAAACUCUUAAAAUUCAUUGACAUCAGUUUUGUUUUGAUCACCUAGUUUUGUAUAGUAUUUCUGGGACCAAAAAUUAAAUACCUUUUAAUGUAGAACAGAAAUUUGAAGCUAGAAAGAUAAUAUUUAUGGAAGAUUUGUGUGCUUUUGUUUUUUAAAUACUUCAGGCUGCUAGUAAGGCAGUUCCUGGGGCACACUUUUUUCCUCUUUAUCUCUUGACUAGUGUAGCAUGUGGUAUGUUUAAAAUAUUUCAUUUUCUGCUUCAUAAUUCUAAUAUCAACCCUAUACUGUAAUACAGGUGAGCUGAAUUGUAUAUUUUAGUUACUUGGUCUAAUCAGAUAUAACUAAAGGGACUUUUUUGGUAUUUUCCUCAAAUUAAGCUUAAAUAAGAAGGGUAUAUUGGCCACAUUUCAUGUCUUUGAAAGUAUACAGUACUGUGAAGCAAGUACUCUGCCUACACUAGAAAAAUAGGGUGCUUUAUCUGUAGAAUAUUUGAGAAACAAUUCAGUCUCUCCUUAACUGUCAAAUAUUUUGGCACAGUUCAUCACUCUGGUUUGUCACUUUCUUGAGAAUAGUCCAUUUUGGGUUUUGUUACAAUGCUUUCAUAAUAACAUACCUUCUGGUCAUUAGAAACAAAACAGCUCAUAGUUGAGUGAUGUAGUACAAUAACAACAACACAACAUGGUAGUCAUUUUGCUUCAAGGAAUUUAAUUAGCCAAAUGACUGCUCUUUGUCACUUUGUAGGGCUUCUGUCUUACUCUAUAUGACCAUCACUACAAAUGUCUUACAUUGAAGCACAUACUAUAGAGCACUUGUAACUUAAUCCUCCUGCAUAAUGCACUGGUGAAAAGUAGUACUUGCUCUAGAUAUUUGAAGAUUUUAUGAUCCAUGUGCUAGGGCUCCUUGAAUUUUUGUAAAAAAUACUUAGUUUGAAUUGAUACAGUGAGUUUUUUGGGCUAGCAGUAUCUAGGGCCCUACUCUACUAAAAGUAUAACGUUGAUUGUCUGCCUUUAAGUUAGAGGAGAUGUAGUAUUUAGAACACUUUGAGACAUGGCAUUAUAAAAUAGCUUGUUUAUGUUCCUGAAGCUAUCUUGUUCUGUGUUAAAGCUACUAAUUGUCUCAAUGUAAGUUUUAAAUAAACAUAUUUCUUUAGA
Microcebus murinus (gray mouse lemur) is the source of this 4271-nucleotide non-coding RNA. The record is from RefSeq and is a predicted model, not a curated record. NCBI's taxonomy places the organism in Eukaryota, Metazoa, Chordata, Mammalia, Primates, Cheirogaleidae.